RNAcentral lists this ribosomal RNA (845 nucleotides) under Leptospirillum sp. XS20. Its description in RNAcentral is "bacterial SSU rRNA". It matches the Rfam family "Bacterial small subunit ribosomal RNA", at positions 49 to 878 of the family's 1533-position model. Lineage: Bacteria; Pseudomonadati; Nitrospirota; Nitrospiria; Nitrospirales; Nitrospiraceae. The record is from RNAcentral.
UUACCAUGCAAGUCCGACGUGAAAGGGGAGCAAUCCCCCGGUAGGGUGGCGAACGGGUGAGUAAGACAUGGGAAUCUGUCCCGGAGAUGGGGAUAUCCUUCCGAAAGGAGGGUUAAUACCGAAUACCGUCCGGUGGACGAGAGUCCAUCGGGGAAAGGGAGGCCUCUGGCAACAUGCUUCCGCUCCGGGAGGAGCCCAUGGCCCAUCAGCUAGUUGGGAGGGUGACGGCCUACCAAGGCGAAGACGGGUAGCUGGUCUGAGAGGACGAUCAGCCACACUGGCACUGAGACACGGGCCAGACUCCUACGGGAGGCAGCAGUGAGGAAUUUUGCGCAAUGGGGGCAACCCUGACGCAGCAACGCCGCGUGUGGGAAGAAGGCUUUCGGGUUGUAAACCACUUUUGUAAGGGACGAAGUCCUUUCGGCAAAUAACCGAGGGGGAUGACGGUACCUUGCGAAUAAGCCACGGCUAACUCUGUGCCAGCAGCCGCGGUAAGACAGGGGUGGCAAGCGUUGUUCGGAGUAACUGGGCGUAAAGGGUCUGUAGGUGGUUUUUCAAGUCUUUGGUAAAACGCCGUGGCUCAACCAUGGUUUGGCCAAGGAGACUGGGAGACUCGAGGCUGGGAGAGGGAAGCGGAAUUUCUGGUGUAGCGGUGAAAUGCGUUGAGAUCAGAAAGAAGGCCGGUGGCGAAGGCGGCUUCCUGGAACAGACCUGACACUGAGAGACGAAAGCGUGGGGAGCAAACAGGAUUAGAUACCCUGGUAGUCCACGCCCUAAACGAUGGGAACUAAGUGUGGGGAGCAAUCCCCGUGCCGCAGCUAACGCAAUAAGUUCCCCGCCUGGGG